RNAcentral lists this ribosomal RNA (460 nucleotides) under uncultured bacterium. RNAcentral's name for it is "partial 16S ribosomal RNA". It matches the Rfam family "Bacterial small subunit ribosomal RNA", at positions 338 to 795 of the family's 1533-position model. The record is from RNAcentral.
CCUACGGGAGGCAGCAGUGAGGAAUAUUGGUCAAUGGACGAGAGUCUGAACCAGCCAAGUAGCGUGAAGGAUGACUGCCCUAUGGGUUGUAAACUUCUUUUAUACGGGAAUAAAAUGUUUCACGUGUGGGAUUUUGUAUGUACCAUAUGAAUAAGGAUCGGCUAAUUCCGUGCCAGCAGCCGCGGUAAUACGGAGGAUCCGAGCGUUAUCCGGAUUUAUUGGGUUUAAAGGGAGCGUAGGUGGAUUGUUAAGCUUGUUGUGAAAUGCUGCGGCUCAACCAUGAAAUUGCAGUUGAAACUGGCAGUCUUGAGUACAGUAAAGGUAGGCGGAAUUCGUGGUGUAGCGGUGAAAUGCUUAGAUAUCACGAAGAACUCCGAUUGCGAAGGCAGUUCACGGGACUGCAACUGACGCUGAGGCUCGAAGGUGUGGGUAUCAAACAGGAUUAGAUACCCCGGUAGUC